AGGUGACAUGUGCUUAGGACAGGU
This 24-nucleotide microRNA is filed under the name Oreochromis niloticus (Nile tilapia). RNAcentral describes it as "oni-miR-10723". Lineage: Eukaryota; Metazoa; Chordata; Actinopteri; Cichliformes; Cichlidae. The record is from miRBase by way of RNAcentral.